RNAcentral lists this ribosomal RNA (497 nucleotides) under uncultured bacterium. RNAcentral describes it as "partial 16S ribosomal RNA". It matches the Rfam family "Bacterial small subunit ribosomal RNA", at positions 28 to 507 of the family's 1533-position model. The record is from RNAcentral.
GAUGAACGCUGGCGGCGUGCCUAAUACAUGCAAGUCGAGCGAACAGACGAGGAGCUUGCUCCUCUGACGUUAGCGGCGGACGGGUGAGUAACACGUGGAUAACCUACCUAUAAGACUGGGAUAACUUCGGGAAACCGGAGCUAAUACCGGAUAAUAUAUUGAACCGCAUGGUUCAAUAGUGAAAGACGGUUUUGCUGUCACUUAUAGAUGGAUCCGCGCCGCAUUAGCUAGUUGGUAAGGUAACGGCUUACCAAGGCAACGAUGCGUAGCCGACCUGAGAGGGAGGGGGGCCACACGGGAACUGAGACCCGGUCCAGCCUCCUAGGGGGGGCAGAGGGAGGGAAUCUUCAGAAAGGGGCGAAAGCCUGUAGGAGCAACGCGGGGGGAUGGAGGAAGUUCUUGGGACCAAAAAACUCUUUUAUGGGGAAAAAAAAAAUGUGUAAGAAACAAGCCCCGUUUUGGGGGACCCAAACAAAAAGACCAGGGCAACCCACGUG